GCAGAGACCAUUGACAAUCAGGCUGUUCAAAACUACAGACACACGGCAGGCAGGUAGAGUGUUGGAGCAUUUUCAGUUAAUUUAUGUGAACAGUUCGCCUGUGGUUUUCGGUGUUAACUUCAGAAGUUGACUAAAAUGAGAAGAACAGGGGCACAGCCUAAGUAAUCAGGAGUAACUUUUCUUCCCCUCAAAAAUUGUAAAAAAGAACGUCUUGAUACUUGUCUUCUCUUUGCUUCAAGGUUAAGAAGCAAGGAUCUUAACAUAUCCCAGCAAGGAUUAAAAAAAAAAAAAAAAAAAAAAAAAAAAAAAAAAAACUAUAGAGAAUUUAAGUCUGCAGGUCGUGGUAAGCACAUGUAUGUGUCACAUGUAUGUAUGUAAAUACAUAUGCUCAAGGCUCUUAGCUGGACUUCCCAGGAAUCCGUUCACGUUCGGUGUCCUGUGGGCACACUGUUGUUCAUUCUGAGACCAUGCGCACGAUAAACCUGCCACCACGCACCUUGUUCCCUUAUGCACCCUGAUCUUUCGGAAGGAGUGUUCAUCUGCUUUGUAAAUUGGAGGGCACAGUAAUUUCGUAGCCUUCCUUUGGUUUUAAACAGAAAACUCUGAGGAAAUGUUUUCUUAGAAGAGGAAAUUAUGUGCUUUUUUGAUCCACCUGACUAAAACAACAUUUUUUUUUUUUUAAUGAAUUGUCUGACAAAAUUAUGCGUGGCUAAGUUUAUCAGAGAUUGGAAUAUGUUUGGUUGGUUUACCUGUGGUAACUCUGCAAGUGUAACAAACACACUUUUUUUUUUUUUUUAAUAGAGAAGAGAAGGAUUACUGAUGCCUUCAGCAUACAGGUGGCCCAAAAUGGCCCUAGAUGAUUUCUUGGUCAAGAAGAUGUUUGCAGUGGAAGUUCGUAAACGUAGCUGCAACUGAUUUAUCCCUUAUUCAGUAAGCAUUUGUUGAGCACCUACUAUUGGCUGUGGUGUAAGGACUAAAGCUCAAGUAGGAGGAAGCCAGGCAAAGGAGCAACAGUAUUGUCCUUUAAUCGCUGUAAACUGUGAAAAUAGUAUAUAUUAAACAAAAGGAAUAUGGAAAUGGUCAGCUACAUGUGCCAUCAAUUUUAACAUAAUACUGCAGGUCUGUCUGGCAGGCAGAAGAGAAGGUAAACUUGCUGAGAAUUGGAACUUCACUUUGAACGGUAUGUGGAUAUUGCAAAUAAAAAUGGAUCCCAUGAGGUUUGAGUAACUAAUAGUUGUUCUGUUUCAUGUGAAACUCUGCAAUUUUGUGCAUCGUUUCCAACUUCCUUUUGGAGGUUAGCUAAAAUGGAACAUUUAGAAAUAGGAGACCAGGUUGCUUCCAUACUUUCAUGUCAAGGGGAAGAGGGGAAAAUGGAGGGAAAGACAGGAGAUCUGUAGCCACUGUUUAAAAAAACAACAACAAAGAACUUUAAAUGAAGAAACGAAAAAGGAAAAUACAAUUUAGAUACUUUACAAAAAGAAGCAGUUGUUGGCAAACAAUCUUUUUGGGGGGGUUCUUCACGUGAAGAAGAUUCAGGGUAAGAUGUCUCUCUUGUAGGAGAUAAUCUUCUAAAAAAUGAGUGUGCCAAAGAAUUAAGCUGACACUUUAAGUUUGUGAAGCUUACAGCAAUUUCUACAAAAGCUCUGGUUCUCACGCCUUUCGUACUUAUUGGAGGAAGGCUCUGAGAAGGAGGUGUUGGGCAACAAGCUGUACGAGGUAACAAUAACAGCGGUUAUUGUAAAACCAUGGAAACUGAAGGGAGAUGUAACUAUUAACCUCCUGCAGUUUGCAAGAUGAUUUCCAGUGACUGUUCUAUGUAGACUAUCUCCCGAAUUACCAACACACUUUUUGAACGUGGAGAGUACGAGAAGUACAGAGAUAGCUGAAUAGUUCAUCUGAAGGUACUUCGCCACCUAUUUUUUUAAUCUGACGAUAGAACCAUUUAUGAGAUGCAAAUUUAUUACUUAUAGUUUUAUAGCUAAAGCAAAGGUCUUAAUAUUUUACAUCUAUCUGACCGUUUAUAAAAAGCAUUCAAAAUUUGGUUUUAGCCAUGAAUUCAGAAUAUUUUCAUGUUAUUUAAUGUUAUGCAUAUUGAUAUUAAUAUAAUAGUUUUAACAUUCUCUUUAAAGACUAACAUUAUAUCUCAUUCAAGGAAAGAGCCUCUAUGGAGAUCUGUACUAGCCCAAUUCUAUAUGAACGUAUAUGCCAACAAAAUAUAUUUUAAAAUAUAUUUUAGAUAGUUUUGCAUUCUGCAUUGCAAGUGGGUAAGAGGAUUGCGAAAGCAUAUUCUUGAGUUUGAUCUCAACGUCAUUUAUCGUCUAGUAGAGAAAAGGCUUGGGUUUGGAGUUCUUUACUCUGAGUUUGGUUAAUUAGCUUUAUUUCGUCAUAGUACUUGUUAGUUUUCUUUUUGUGUAUCAUUUCAUUCAUCCACAUAUGGUUUACGCAAAUGGUUUUCUCUGUUACAAAUGUAAUUUGUAUUAAUUGAUGAAAAAAAUCUAAGAACUGAUUACCUAAUGACUAUAUAAAAGUGUUUUCUGUGUAAUAGAAACAGAUCCAACUAGUUAGAGAGAGCUGCCCACUAAACAGGCAUUGUCUUCAGGUUCGCGCAUAGUCUCUGUGCUUUAUUUUAAAAACUAAUGAAGGAUGUUUUAAAAAAAAAAAUGAGUUCGAUCACAGGAAUAUUCAUUUUAAGGUACUUAGGGCUGCCUAAAAAUAUCUCCAGGCCCUCCCUUCUUCCUCACUACUCUUCAGCAGAGGUCCAAAAAUGAGAAAUAGCCCACGUGCAUUCUCUUUUCUGAAGUGAAUCAUCUACCUUGAAAGGCAGGGACAACAAACAGGAACCUACUGCAAAGAACAAAACUGUUUUUUUCCUGCAUUUUUGUACAAACCAGGACUAUUUUGUUAUCAAGGAGGCAUAAAGAGUGGGAAGGGCAAUAAAAUAUCUUCCUGAGUCAUCCAGGUAGCGUUCGGCGGGCUGUUGGGGACCCCGGUUGCUCAGGCAGGAGAGGGCGAUGGAGCUGGAGGGGCCCGGAGGGCAGGGCGCCAGGUGGAUGGGUCCCUCAGCCCACACCCCUACUCCUGCCUUCCUCCAGCCCGCAGCAUUUCCUUGCGUGCAGAUUCGUGAUUCACUGUGACUCAGGAUUAAUUGAGGCUUAUUUCUGCCACCAGCCAAGGGUGAGGAAGCCUAUGGGAUGGCGGGAUCGUGCUACUGUCACAGAGUUGACUCUAACUCGGGGUUCCUCAGCCUCAGGACUAUUACCAUUCUGGGCUCGAUGAUAGCUCUUUGUGGGGGGCUGCUGUCCUGUGCAUCGGAGAAGGUUUAGCGGCAUCCCUGGCCUCUACCCACUAGAUAGAUGCCAGUCGAAGAAGCCCCUCAACCCAGACAAUCAAAAAGAUCUGCAGACGUUGCCAAAUCAUUCCCUGGGCCAGGGGCCCAACGGCCCCCGGUUGGGAACCAUCGCUCUGCACUGGACCACGAAGAGAUGGAGGAGGCAGGCUUAAACCCAGAGGAGAGAUAGGCUGAACCUAUAGUAAACCUGAGACUUUCCUUACUCCAAGAGACUCCUGUAAGGUCCAAGAUUUAAACAAACAGAUUUCCUUAUUCCAGAGCAUUACAGCGAAUGCUCUUCUAUUGCAAUAGCAGUGUUCUCUGCCGUGCUUGGGAUGAAGCACUCUGAUCAGCUCAUCAAAUCCACACGUAAGAGAAAAGCGCAAUAUUCAGGGAUUGAGAGCUAUUGGGGAUUUCGGUGACCUUGGAAGGAGGACUAUGAUUUCAAAGGAAGGUGUGCUCUGGUCGGGGUGAGGAACUUGGCGAGUCAUUCGGGCACGGCCACGCUGGUGACUAAGUAGAGGGACCUAGAUGUGUGGGAGGGAUCCUGAAAGGGAAGUGAAGGGCAACGGUGCUUUAGUUCUGUUUGGGGUCCCUCGAGCCUCCACUGGGAGACAUCUGGGAGGUUUUCAGCCUUACUCAGCUUCCUCCACUUCACCUCACAAUCUCUUCCCUGUUUAUCCAGGCCCCUGUUCGACAUCUGGACUCCUCACUUUGGGGGAGAAAGGAUGUGUUUUAUGCAUCCUGUCCCUCUUUAUUUUUUGCCUUUUUACAAUUCCUCCCUCCCUCCCUCCCUCCCUUUCCUUCCUUCCUUUUUCUUAGCUACCUUCAGAACAAAUGGACUGAAUUUGUCCAAGGGGGACUCCUGCUGGUUAACUGCACACACCUGCCUGUGCCCAGACCCCUUAGCCGGGCUGGCAAGAAGGGGACUGCAGAGGCGGCGGUGAGGGCUUUGUAAUGAAGUGCCUCUGGAAUCUGGUGUCUCAAGCCAGCACAGAUGCUGGCUGCCAACCCCUGAAACACAGCAUUAAGUAUCUUGUCAGCAAGUUCAUUAAUGUGGAAUUAACUCAGUGACCAUGGAUAUUUGAUUUUUUUUUUUUUUCUGAACCAGACAUGGUUGUUUUCGUUCUUAAGUUUUAGAUGGAAUAGAUAUUUUAAAACCUGUGCAAUACAGUCCCUAAAAACUUUAAGCAACUAGACAAUUAGACACCCGAGGGGUGGGACCAUGGUGAUUCUACAUUUCAUAGCCAGGCACAUUUGGAAAUCUAACAUUCCUAGUGAAGUAGGAGAUAUAGCAGUUUUGUAACUGAGCGAGAACAAUCUCCAAGCCCAUCAAAAGGCUCUAAUCAGCCAGAAGAGGCUCUCUAAGAAAGGUAGGCGGUAAAUGAAAUAAUUCUGCACAAUAAAAAGUACUGUUUGGUGAGAGUGGAUGAGUGAUUUGGGUGCUUCUUGAACUGGCUUCUCAAAUUUGAGAAUAAUCUUGUGUUAACAGUGAAUGGUGUUAAUAGAAAUAUUUCAUUCUCUGUAGUAUCUUUGUAUUAAAUCGAAAAUGGUAACAUCCCAUUUAAUUGGCGACGUGGUCAUAAUUAAGAUAGAGAAAACAGAUUUGGUUUAUCUAAAUUUCCUGUUUUCCUUAUAUUCGUUUUCCUCUUUUAUGAUCUGUGCUGUUCUGCAACAUUUUUUUUUCUUAUCUCUAGUGUUGACUGGCUUUGGGGAGCGUUAUGUUUUCUUUCUAAUUAAAAAGUUUAGAAUGAGAGAAAUAUUCAGUUAUGAAUCACUGUAGCCAUUAGCCAAUAAAAUAUAUGUGUUCAUAAAUUUAAACACAUAAAUUAAUUGUGUAGGAUGUUUUUGCAAUGUCAUUAUUUGUGUUUACUUUUCAUAGCUGAGAAUGAUUUUCCAAUGCAACGUUUUCCAUGGAAAUGAAAUUCUCCCUUUUCUUUGAUUAAUUACCAUUUGACUAAUAUUUGAAAAAAGAAACAGGUGGUAAUUAUUUUCUUAAAGUGCUAUCUAUCAUGAAGGCUCUCUAUUUUACAUUUUGUAGCAGAUUACUAACAAUUGUUCUUUUUAACCUUUUCCUCAGAGGAAUAGCGUUUAUGAAUAGAAAAAAAGCAUGUAUGUGAGUUACCCAAAAGUCAUACGGUAGUUGUUUGGAUUUAUCAUGGUGGUGGUGAUUUGGGCAAAAUAUCUGCCCUCUUAAUUACAAGUACUAAAAUUGAUUUGUACUAGCCUAUAGGGAAGCAUCAAAAACGCAUGCACAGUGGGGCUAUAGUGCCAUUUUGCUGUUAACCAUUUUGGAUACUGUAUAGAGUAAUAACACACUAGAAAUAAAUAAACAAAAUGUUGGCCUCCUAGAAAGUUAUUUCUGUUUAGUCAUUUUAGCAUGCAAUUUAGA
This 5720-nucleotide long non-coding RNA is filed under the name Canis lupus familiaris (dog). RNAcentral's name for it is "lncRNA (ENSCAFG00845020026.1)". The record is from RNAcentral. Lineage: Eukaryota; Metazoa; Chordata; Mammalia; Carnivora; Canidae.